This 117-nucleotide ribosomal RNA is filed under the name uncultured bacterium. RNAcentral describes it as "partial 16S ribosomal RNA". It matches the Rfam family "Bacterial small subunit ribosomal RNA", at positions 1367 to 1482 of the family's 1533-position model. The record is from RNAcentral.
UACGUUCCCGGGCCUUGUACACACCGCCCGUCACACCACGAAAAGUGGGUAACACCCGAAGCCGGUGGCCCAACCGCAAGGAGGGAGCCGUCGAAGGUGGGAUCCGCGAUUGGGGUG